UGCCACUUUGCUGCGCAACCUGGGCACCAAUCCAACAUCCACUGUCAAGCUCAGCCUUUGCAAUCUGUACCUCACCUGCUCCAUGUCUACCCCACUGGCCAACUCAUCGUGCAGCCAAAUGCAGUGACCUCAGGUCCGAUGCCAUGAUGGAUUUUCCACUGCUCCCCCCAUUUUGGACCUCCUGCUUCGCCACUGCUUGUGACCCUCCCGUGAUUUGCCAGGGUCUGGAGGCAUGGUGAGAUCUGAGGUGGGUCGUAGUGGGAAACUGAAGGGCAUUUCAAGGCUCUGGGCUGUCCGGGAGUGGAAAGAAGGCAAGAAAGGAAAUUAAGACCAUUCACCUCUGUUAAUGAACUGACACUCGUGAAGGCACUCCAGUCCUCUGGGCACCUCGAACUUAAAGGUCCUUUCCUCCACUCUUCUAAAGGCUCUACGCUCAGGAGCCCAUUCAGGCCUCUCGGACAUUUUGCAACUUAAAAAAAAAAAGUUGGCACCAGUUCCCAUACUCCAUUUUAUCCAUGAACCUCACUCACAAAUCUUCCAGAGGCCCACAACUGGAUUGCAGAGAUGAGAUGAUGGAGAACGAGGAACCGGCUGUGAACAUGCUGCUUCCCAGGCACUCCUGGCAUGAUCACUCUGUGCCUGUGGACAGUGUUUCUAGGCAGUAAUAAAACGGUGUGGUACGUAAAGCUGGAAGCACCGAGUCCUGCACAGUCAUAUCUACUCAACAGCAAAGCUCCUAUUUGCUCCGAGGAGAAUUCUGCCUACGUAAGGACUUAAGAGCCAGGGCUAGGAGCAAAGAAAAGAGCAUUCAUAAUUUUCUUCUUAGCUGGUUUAGAGAAAGCCAACUGCUUUCUACAGCCUUGCCAAAACUAAGAGGAGAUGGUCUGAGGUUAAGAAACAUGCGGGAUGAUUUUCAUACCAAAUGUGAAAAAUGAGAAAUUGCUUUAACAUACAGUAACUUGCCAUAAAAAUGUGAUCCGUGUUCCCUUCCAACUUUAAAAGGAGACUUUAUAAACUCUACAGCCUUUGAUUUGUUAAGGUAACUUUAUACUUAUUUUUUUAAUUCACAGGUUUGUGAGAAAAUAUAAUGGAACCCUUGAUGUUUUUAUGAUCUCGAUUAUCACUUCAUUGUAUAAGUAUUUGCUUAAUGAAACAUACAGUAAAACACUGUAAAACCUGCUGCAAUGUAUUCAAUAUCUUUUGGAAUUAAUAGAAAAAUUAC
Molecule: long non-coding RNA, 1222 nt
Organism: Cygnus atratus (black swan)
Lineage: Eukaryota; Metazoa; Chordata; Aves; Anseriformes; Anatidae
Exons: 3
Source: RefSeq, a predicted model, not a curated record